RNAcentral lists this ribosomal RNA (497 nucleotides) under uncultured bacterium. RNAcentral's name for it is "partial 16S ribosomal RNA". It matches the Rfam family "Bacterial small subunit ribosomal RNA", at positions 28 to 507 of the family's 1533-position model. The record is from RNAcentral.
GAUGAACGCUGGCGGCGUGCCUAAUACAUGCAAGUCGAGCGAACGGACGAGAAGCUUGCUUCUCUGAUGUUAGCGGCGGACGGGUGAGUAACACGUGGAUAACCUACCUAUAAGACUGGGAUAACUUCGGGAAACCGGAGCUAAUACCGGAUAAUAUUUUGAACCGCAUGGUUCAAAAGUGAAAGACGGUCUUGCUGUCACUUAUAGAUGGAUCCGCGCUGCAUUAGCUAGUUGGUAAGGUAACGGCUUACCAAGGCAACGAUGCAUAGCCGACCUGAGAGGGUGAUCGGCCACACUGGAACUGAGACACGGUCCAGACUCCUACGGGAGGCAGCAGUAGGGAAUCUUCCGCAAUGGGCGAAAGCCUGACGGAGCAACGCCGCUUGAGUGAUGAAGGUCUUCGGAUCGUAAAACUCUGUUAUUAGGGAAGAACAUAUGUGUAAGUAACUGUGCACAUCUUGACGGUACCUAAUCAGAAAGCCACGGCUAACUACGUG